UUUGUUGAUUACAGCGUCGGGAUUCCAUUCUUCCCAUCCCGAACAGAGAAGUUAAGCCGGGUCGCGCCGAUGGUACUGCAUACAGUGGGAGAGUAGGUCGCCACCAUUU
Molecule: ribosomal RNA, 109 nt
Filed under: Dysgonamonadaceae bacterium
Lineage: Bacteria; Pseudomonadati; Bacteroidota; Bacteroidia; Bacteroidales; Dysgonomonadaceae
Source: RNAcentral